Molecule: non-coding RNA, 94 nt
Organism: Crenichthys baileyi (White River springfish)
Lineage: Eukaryota; Metazoa; Chordata; Actinopteri; Cyprinodontiformes; Goodeidae
Source: the annotation of a GenBank genome assembly
GCCCUGGUGGUGGAGGGGUUAAACACGUGACCAUAUCAAGAGGCUAUAGUCCUUGAUGCGGUUGUCCUGGGUUCGAGUCCCGGACCUUGUGACU